Molecule: ribosomal RNA, 249 nt
Filed under: uncultured prokaryote
Description: partial 16S ribosomal RNA
Rfam family: Bacterial small subunit ribosomal RNA
Source: RNAcentral
UACGGAGGAUGCAAGCGUUAUCCGGAUUUAUUGGGUUUAAAGGGUGCGCAGGCGGACUAAUAAGUCAGUGGUGAAAUUUACAUGCUCAACAUGUAGCGUGCCAUUGAUACUGUUGGACUAGUAUACAAAUGACGUAGCUGGAAUGUGUUAUGUAGCGGUGAAAUGCAUAGAUAUAACACAGAACACCGAUCGUGAAGACAGGUUACGAAUUUGUUAUAGACGCUCAUGCACGAAAGCGUGGGGAUCAAA